GCCGGGAUAGCUCAGUU
This 17-nucleotide transfer RNA is filed under the name Boechera holboellii. RNAcentral describes it as "partial tRNA-Phe". Lineage: Eukaryota; Viridiplantae; Streptophyta; Magnoliopsida; Brassicales; Brassicaceae. RNAcentral also lists the same sequence under 20 other names. The record is from RNAcentral.